CUUGGUCAUUUAGAGGAAGUAAAAGUCGUAACAAGGUUUCCGUAGGUGAACAUUAUUAUUGCAGGUUCGCCAAAACAGAAAGUCUCUCAGCAGGCAACAUCUCUACUGUGCUGGAAUUUACCGUGGGUAAUACCAGCAGCCUAAGAAUAGGCUCACAGAUCAAAUGGAGGUGGCCCCUUUGGGGUUGAGAGUUGAUCGGGGGGUUGCUAUCAGUAGCAGCUAUACUUCCGCUGCGGAAGGAUCAUUACCGAGAUAAUAUGCUCUCUUCAGAGUAUGUCUCCCACCCUUUGUUUACAAUACUUUAGUUGCUUUGGCAGGCCUGUCUUUGGGCUACCGGCUAUGCUGGUCAGUGCCUGCCAGAGGACCCCAAACUCGCUGUAAUUUGCUGUCUGAGUACUAUAAAUUUAAGUUAAAACUUUCAACAACGGAUCUCUUGGUUCUGGCAUCGAUGAAGAACGCAGCGAAAUGCGAUAAGUAAUGUGAAUUGCAGAAUUCAGUGAAUCAUCGAAUCUUUGAACGCACAUUGCACCUUCUGGUAUUCCAGGAGGUAUGUCUGUUCGAGCGUCAUUACAACCCUCAAGCUCUAGCUUGGUAUUGGAUGUCACUAAUCUGGUGCAUCUCAAAAGCAGUGGCGGUGCCAUUCAGCUUCAAGCGCAGUAAAUCUCUCGCUGUGGAGCCUGGGUGCAGUGUCUGCCAGAACCCCUAAAUUCAAAGGUUGACCUCGGAUCAGAUAGGGAUACCCGCUGAACUUAAGCAUAUCAAUAAGCGGAGGA
This 773-nucleotide ribosomal RNA is filed under the name uncultured fungus. RNAcentral describes it as "eukaryotic LSU rRNA". The stretch from base 414 to 567 matches the Rfam family "5.8S ribosomal RNA". The record is from RNAcentral. Lineage: Eukaryota; Fungi.